This 336-nucleotide unclassified non-coding RNA is filed under the name soil metagenome. RNAcentral describes it as "partial contains 5.8S ribosomal RNA, internal transcribed spacer 2, and large subunit ribosomal RNA". The stretch from base 1 to 120 matches the Rfam family "5.8S ribosomal RNA", at positions 35 to 154 of the family's 154-position model. The record is from RNAcentral.
GAUGAAGAACGCAGCGAAAUGCGAUAAGUAAUGUGAAUUGCAGAAUUCAGUGAAUCAUCGAAUCUUUGAACGCACAUUGCGCCCGCCAGUAUUCUGGCGGGCAUGCCUGUUCGAGCGUCAUUUCAACCAUCAAGCCCUAGGCUUGUGUUGGGGACCUGCGGCUGCCGCAGGCCCUGAAAACCAGUGGCGGGCUCGCUGUCACACCGGGCGUAGUAGAUUUUAUCUCGCUCAGGGCGUGCUGCGGGUUCCGGCCGUUAAAAAGCCUUUUUUACCCUAGGUUGACCUCGGAUCAGGUAGGAAGACCCGCUGAACUUAAGCAUAUCAAUAAGCGGAGGA